GUUUAAGUACAUACCUUAAAAAGGUGAAACCGCGAAUGGCUGAUUAAAUCAGCUAUGGUUCCUUAGAUCAUAUAUACUACAGGGAUAAUUGUAGUAAUUGUAGAGCUAAUACAUGCAAUUAUGCCCUGACCCGCAAGGGAACGGGUGCAUUUAUUAGAAGAGAACCAACGAACGUCUGCCCACAUGCUUUCAUAUCCCCUUCCCAUGAACUCCUCCCCCAUGUCAACCUCGCACUAACGACCAACUCACUGCUUCCCAUUCGGCUUUGACUCGAGCGAUGGCCUGGCGUGUGAUGUCACCUGAUGGUUUGUUUUCUCAG
Molecule: non-coding RNA, 319 nt
Filed under: Trichobilharzia regenti
Lineage: Eukaryota; Metazoa; Platyhelminthes; Trematoda; Strigeidida; Schistosomatidae
Description: Eukaryotic small subunit ribosomal RNA
Rfam family: Eukaryotic small subunit ribosomal RNA
Source: Rfam by way of RNAcentral